UUGAUAUUAAAUUGUACUGAACAAUGCUCAUUUGCCUCUACAGAAAGUUCUAGUUGCUCUCUUCGCCAUCUGAGGUUAUGAUGAGAAGCCAGAGGUUGCUCUGCCAAGUCGACUAAAUUAUAAAGUGACUGGGACAGAGAGUGCAUUGAAAAAGAAGAUCCAGGAAUCCAAGAGCGGCCGCUUUUUAGAGAAGGACAAACGCCUCCUGGAAGAGCUGAAGAGCCUGCACUGUGACCCACACCCAUUCUGCACUGUUUUGCCUUCAGAGUCAGACUUUACAUUUUUGGAAGAUUCUCAUGCAAGGCCCUCCUGAUACACCUUAUG
This is a long non-coding RNA of Coregonus clupeaformis (lake whitefish), 324 nucleotides long. RefSeq lists it as uncharacterized. The record is from RefSeq and is a predicted model, not a curated record. NCBI's taxonomy places the organism in Eukaryota, Metazoa, Chordata, Actinopteri, Salmoniformes, Salmonidae. The transcript is spliced from 3 exons.